This 230-nucleotide unclassified non-coding RNA is filed under the name plant metagenome. RNAcentral's name for it is "partial contains small subunit ribosomal RNA and internal transcribed spacer 1". The stretch from base 1 to 46 matches the Rfam family "Eukaryotic small subunit ribosomal RNA", at positions 1786 to 1831 of the family's 1831-position model. The record is from RNAcentral.
AAGUCGUAACAAGGUCUCCGUUGGUGAACCAGCGGAGGGAUCAUUGCUGGAACAAACGCCCUCACGGGUGCUACCCAGAGACCCUUUGUGAAUACUACCUAAAAUGUUGCCUCGGCAGUGGUUGGCCUUCUACAAGGCCCCCUUCUUCGGAAGGGAGCAGACCGGCCGGCGGCCCCCAUAAACUCUUGUUUUGUAAUAUCUUCUGAGUAAACAAACAAAAUAAAUCAAAA